CCUACGGGGGGCUGCAGUGGGGAAUUUUGGACAAUGGGCGCAAGCCUGAUCCAGCCAUGCCGCGUGCGGGAAGAAGGCCUUCGGGUUGUAAACCGCUUUUGUCAGGGAAGAAAAGGUUCGAGCUAAUACCUCGGACUAAUGACGGUACCUGAAGAAUAAGCACCGGCUAACUACGUGCCAGCAGCCGCGGUAAUACGUAGGGUGCAAGCGUGAAGCGAAGUUACUGGGCGUGGUUAGUGAGCAGGGAUGUGAAAUCCCCGGGCUCAACCUGGGAACUGCAUGUGUGACUGCAUGACUUGAGUACGGUAGAGGGGGAUGGAAUUCCGCGUGUAGCAGUGAAAUGCGUAGAUAUGCGGAGGAACACCGAUGGCGAAGGCAAUCCCCUGGACCUGUACUGACGCUCAGGCACGAAAGCGUGGGGAGCAAACAGGAUUAGAUACCCCUGUAGUC
This 450-nucleotide ribosomal RNA is filed under the name uncultured bacterium. RNAcentral describes it as "partial 16S ribosomal RNA". It matches the Rfam family "Bacterial small subunit ribosomal RNA", at positions 338 to 795 of the family's 1533-position model. The record is from RNAcentral.